This 1441-nucleotide ribosomal RNA is filed under the name uncultured prokaryote. RNAcentral describes it as "partial 16S ribosomal RNA". It matches the Rfam family "Bacterial small subunit ribosomal RNA". The record is from RNAcentral.
GACGAGAAGCGGGCUUCGGCCCGUUAGUAGAGUGGCAGACGGGUGAGUGACACGUGGGUAACCUGUCCGGAGGCGGGGGAUAACUCUUCGAAAGGAGGGCUAAUACCGCAUAACACUCGCCGGGUUUCGGCCUGGCGAAUCAAAGCUUGCCUCUACAUGUAAGCAAGCACCACCGGAGGGGCCCGCGGCCCAUUAGUUUGUUGGUGGGGUAACGGCCCACCAAGACUACGAUGGUUAGCUGGUCUGAGAGGAUGAUCAGCCACACUGGAACUGACACACGGUCCAGACUCCUACGGGAGGCAGCAGUGAGGAAUUUUGCGCAAUGGGGGAAACCCUGACGCAGCGACGCCGCGUGGAGGACGAAGGCCUUCGGGUCGUAAACUCCUGUCAAGUGGGACGAAUCCGGAAAGAUGAAUAAGCUUUCCGGUUGACGGUACCAUUGGAGGAAGCCCCGGCUAACUCCGUGCCAGCAGCCGCGGUAAUACGGAGGGGGCUAGCGUUGUUCGGAAUUAUUGGGCGUAAAGGGCGCGUAGGCGGCCUGGUAAGCCGGACGUGAAAUCCCGCGGCUCAACCGCGGAACUGCGCUCGAAACUGUCAGGCUUGAGUCCCGGAGAGGGAAUCGGAAUUCCCGGUGUAGCGGUGGAAUGCGUAGAUAUCGGGAAGAACACCAGUGGCGAAGGCGGAUUGCUGGACAGCACCUGAGGCUGAGGCGCGAAAGUGUGGGGAGCGAACGGGAUUAGAUACCCCGGUAGUCCACACUGUAAACGUUGGGCACUAAGGUGUUGCGGGUAUCGACCCCUGCAGUGCCGAAGCUAACGCAUUAAGUGCCCCGCCUGGGGAGUACGGUCGCAAGGCUGAAACUCAAAGGAAUUGACGGGGGCCCGCACAAGCGGUGGAGCAUGUGGUUCAAUUCGACGCAACGCGAAGAACCUUACCUGGGUUUGAACCGCAGGUGGCCGAUCUGGAAACAGAUCUUUCCUUCGGGACGCCUGUAGAGGUGCUGCAUGGCUGUCGUCAGCUCGUGUCGUGAGAUGUUGGGUUAAGUCCCGCAACGAGCGCAACCCUUGUCCUUAGUUGCCAUCGGGUAAUGCCGGGAACUCUAGGGAGACUGCCCCGGAAAACGGGGAGGAAGGUGGGGAUGACGUCAAGUCCUCAUGGCCUUUAUGUCCAGGGCUACACACGUGCUACAAUGGGCGGUACAAAGGGUCGCGAUGCCGCGAGGUGGAGCCAAUCCCAAAAAGCCGUCCUCAGUUCGGAUUGCAGUCUGCAACUCGACUGCAUGAAGGUGGAAUCGCUAGUAAUCGCGGAUCAGCACGCCGCGGUGAAUACGUUCCCGGGCCUUGUACACACCGCCCGUCACAUCACGAAAGUUGGUUGCACUUGAAAGCACUGGGCUAACCCGCAAGGGAGGCAGGUGCUUAUGGUGUGAUUGAUGAUUGGG